GAUGAACGCUGGCGGCGUGCCUAAUACAUGCAAGUCGAGCGGACGGACCAGAAGCUUGCUGCGCUGAUGUUAGGGGCGGACGGGGGAGUAACACGUGGAAAACCUACCUAUAAUACUGGGAAAACUUCGGGAAACCGGGGCUAAUAGCGGAGGAUCUUUUGAACCGCAUGGUUGGAUAGUGAAAGACGGUCUUUCUGUCACGUAUCGAUGGAUCCGCGCUGCAUGGGCUAGUUGGUGAGGUAACGGGUUACGAAGGCAACGAGGCAUGGCCGACCUGAGAGGGGGGUCGGCCACCCUGGAACUGGGACGCGGUCCUGACUACUACGGGAGGCAGCAGAGGGGUAUCUUCCGCAAUGGGCGAAAGCCUGACGGAGUGACGCGGCGUGAGUUAUGACAGUGUUGGGAUCGGAAUGCUCUCUUAUUAGUGAAGAACAUAUGUGUCAGUACCUGUGGUCAGCUUGACGGUACCUAGUCAGAAAGCCCCGGCUAACUACGUG
This 497-nucleotide ribosomal RNA is filed under the name uncultured bacterium. RNAcentral's name for it is "partial 16S ribosomal RNA". It matches the Rfam family "Bacterial small subunit ribosomal RNA", at positions 28 to 507 of the family's 1533-position model. The record is from RNAcentral.